Nerophis ophidion (straightnose pipefish) is the source of this 405-nucleotide long non-coding RNA. RefSeq lists it as uncharacterized. The transcript is spliced from 3 exons. NCBI's taxonomy places the organism in Eukaryota, Metazoa, Chordata, Actinopteri, Syngnathiformes, Syngnathidae. The record is from RefSeq and is a predicted model, not a curated record.
CAAAGAGCAGAGGGGGAGACAUAGCAUUAAUGUUAAAGGUUGACCCCACUUUACUGAGGUCCUGCUGGGAGGAAGGCAGGGGGAGGAGGAAGCUUCAAGACAUGAGGAUAUUGUUUGGAAAAUGAAGAAUAAUCGAGCGAGCUUGGAUGCGGAAGAAAGAUGUCGGAAGCCUCCUAGUGGGCCAAAUGUCCAGAAUGUUUACAAGACGAGUCUUACUGUGGAGGUCUGCUGCAGCCUCAAGAGGACACUUACAGGCCAACACAUUAGGGGCGCUGGAAGCCGGCAGACCCGUCAGCGAUCCUGUUCUGUCUCCCUGUAAUGUUUGUCUGAUCUUGAAUGGGAUUGUGCUGAAAAUUUCAAUUUUCCUGAAGGAACUCUCCUGACGGAAUAAAUAAAGUACUAUCU